GAUCAUGGCUCAGGAUGAACGCUAGCUACAGGCUUAACACAUGCAAGUCGAGGGGAAACGACAUCGAAAGCUUGCUUUUGGUGGGCGUCGACCGGCGCACGGGUGAGUAACGCGUAUCCAACCUGCCCACCACUUGGGGAUAACCUUGCGAAAGUAAGACUAAUACCCAAUGAUAUCCCACGAAGGCAUCCGAAUGGGAUUAAAGAUUUAUCGGUGAUGGAUGGGGAUGCGUCUGAUUAGCUUGUUGGCGGGUAACGGCCCACCAAGGCAACGAUCAGUAGGGGUUCUGAGAGGAAGGUCCCCCACAUUGGAACUGAGACACGGUCCAAACUCCUACGGGAGGCAGCAGUGAGGAAUAUUGGUCAAUGGGCGAGAGCCUGAACCAGCCAAGUAGCGUGCAGGAUGACGGCCCUAUGGGUUGUAAACUGCUUUUAUAAGGGAAUAAAGUGAGCCUCGUGAGGCUUUUUGCAUGUACCUUAUGAAUAAGGACCGGCUAAUUCCGUG
RNAcentral lists this ribosomal RNA (504 nucleotides) under uncultured bacterium. RNAcentral's name for it is "bacterial SSU rRNA". It matches the Rfam family "Bacterial small subunit ribosomal RNA", at positions 15 to 507 of the family's 1533-position model. The record is from RNAcentral.